RNAcentral lists this transfer RNA (73 nucleotides) under Candidatus Pacearchaeota archaeon. RNAcentral describes it as "tRNA-Arg". It matches the Rfam family "tRNA". Rfam says of the family: Transfer RNA (tRNA) molecules are approximately 80 nucleotides in length. Their secondary structure includes four short double-helical elements and three loops (D, anti-codon, and T loops). The record is from RNAcentral. Lineage: Archaea; Nanobdellati. RNAcentral also lists the same sequence under 1 other name.
GCGCCUGUAGCUCAAUGGAUAGAGCACGCGGCUUCGGACCGUGGGGUUGGGGGUUCGACUCCCUUCAGGCGCG